Fukomys damarensis (Damara mole-rat) is the source of this 1271-nucleotide long non-coding RNA. RefSeq lists it as uncharacterized. The transcript is spliced from 3 exons. NCBI's taxonomy places the organism in Eukaryota, Metazoa, Chordata, Mammalia, Rodentia, Bathyergidae. The record is from RefSeq and is a predicted model, not a curated record.
AGCAGCCGGCUUGGUGUUAAGAGGUGGGGCCUGGGGGAAGGGGCGGGUCGUUGUGGGCGUGGCCUGGAAGGCUUUGCCUCCCUCCCCAGCUCCUCCCUUCUCUCUCAGUAGGUAGUCCCGAACUCCUGGUCCUGGCGGUCCUCUUGCCUCAGCCUCCCAAGCGCUGGGAUUGUGGGCAUGUGCCGUCACGCCUGGCUUCUCUCUGCCUCUCGCCCACUACCAUGAGGAGGUCUUCUCUGCUCUCCACCUCUUCUCUGCCAUCCUGCCUUGGAGCCAGCAGACAAUCAUCUGAAACCGCAGGCCUCGGCCUUGGUGGGGCUGCACGCUACCAGGACAGUGAGGCCUCCGGCUUCAGUCCUCAAUUCCUGCCCCUAACAAGCAGUGGAUCUGGGUCCACGCAGCCCGUGGCUCCAAUCCACCCAGAGACUUGCCGAUGAGUCACAGCCAGCUGAUACCACAGACUCACAAGGAUUUGGCGUUGGGAUCUUGGCGGUGAUAACCAGCACUAAGGGAAACUUGGGACUGAAUCAGAGGCCGGCUGCCUCUGUCCAGCCCUUGCCUGUCGGGAUUCCAGUGAAAGGACAUUCCUCCCCACGCGCCUGCACUCCUGUGCUGUCCUGGUGGCACCGAGGUGGAAUGGGGUCUCCUGGGAGGCUAACUGUCCAGGGCAGCGGCCUGACUCCAGGGGAGAGUCCAGCGCUCACCUUCCAGGGACUGUCCUGCAUGUUGGUCACCCAGGCCGCUGGCUAGGCUGGGCCCCAGAAGAGCACCAGGAGGUUAGGGCACAGAAUGCUUCUCUCAUGGCAGAGCGACAAUGGCCUCUGCCAUGGCCGAAUGACGGUGGGCGCUGUAUGUGCACGCGUUAUGUAAGAUGACCCUUGGAACACCGUGGAGAGGGAGUGGUAUCCCUGCUUUACAGAUGCAGAAAGUAAAACACAAGAAAAAUAGCUUGGCAAGACUAAGGUGCAAACCCAGGUUCAUCUCUACCAGUUCACCGGACCACGUUGUGUCUCAGGAGGGACGUGGUCCAGACAGCUUGCCCCCUGGUUUCUGACCACUGGUGGGGAUGGCAGGUGCACGAUCACUAUCGUGCUGUGACCAUGUAUGUGUGAGGCCCAUUCCUGCAACACAGAAGCUUGUAGUAAGUAGCUGUGUGUAGGUCCAGCCUCCAUGGGUCACCCGGCCUACAAGAGCUGGCUCUCUGUAAGUGUGUCAGUACGGCCGCCACCUAGACACACGGAGCCCCUUAGCCCCCUUGGCCCCAGCUCCUU